AUUGAACGCUGGCGGCAUGCCUUACACAUGCAAGUCGAACGGCAGCACGGGGCAACCUGGUGGCGAGUGGCGAACGGGUGAGUAAUGCAUCGGAACGUGCCAUUGAGUGGGGGAUAACGUAGCGAAAGUUGCGCUAAUACCGCAUAUUCUGUGAGCAGGAAAGCAGGGGACCGCAAGGCCUUGCGCUCUUUGAGCGGCCGAUGUCAGAUUAGCUAGUUGGUGAGGUAACGGCUUACCAAGGCGACGAUCUGUAGCGGGUCUGAGAGGAUGAUCCGCCACACUGGAACUGAGACACGGUCCAGACUCCUACGGGAGGCAGCAGUAGGGAAUAUUGGACAAUGGGGGCAACCCUGAUCCAGCCAUGCCGCGUGAGUGAAGAAGGCCCUCGGGUUGUAAAGCUCUUUUGUCCGGAAAGAAAAGCAUCUGGUUAAUACCCGGGUGUUCUGACGGUACCGGAAGAAUAAGCACCGGCUAACUUCGUGCCAGC
Molecule: ribosomal RNA, 487 nt
Filed under: uncultured bacterium
Lineage: Bacteria
Description: bacterial SSU rRNA
Rfam family: Bacterial small subunit ribosomal RNA
Source: RNAcentral